Molecule: ribosomal RNA, 1027 nt
Filed under: Syritta pipiens
Lineage: Eukaryota; Metazoa; Arthropoda; Insecta; Diptera; Syrphidae
Description: SSU rRNA
Rfam family: Eukaryotic small subunit ribosomal RNA
Source: RNAcentral
AUUAGCCAUGCAUGUCUAAGUACACACGAAUUAAAAGUGAAACCGCAAAAGGCUCAUUAUAUCAGUUAUGGUUCAUUAGAUCGUUAACAGUUACUUGGAUAACUGUGGUAAUUCUAGAGCUAAUACAUGCAAUAUAAACACGGACCUUUUGGAACGUGUGCUUUUAUUAGGCUAAAACCAAGCGAUUUUUUCGGAAAUCGUUAUUAUGGUUGAACUCUAGAUAAUUUGCCGAUCGUAUGGUCUUGUACCGACGACAGAUCUUUCAAAUGUCUGCCCUAUCAACUAUUGAUGGUAGUAUCUAGGACUACCAUGGUUGCAACGGGUAACGGGGAAUCAGGGUUCGAUUCCGGAGAGGGAGCCUGAGAAACGGCUACCACAUCUAAGGAAGGCAGCAGGCGCGUAAAUUACCCACUCCCAGUUCGGGGAGGUAGUGACGAAAAAUAACAAUACAGGACUCAUAUCCGAGGCCCUGUAAUUGGAAUGAGUACACUUUAAAUCCUUUAACAAGGACCUAUUGGAGGGCAAGUCUGGUGCCAGCAGCCGCGGUAAUUCCAGCUCCAAUAGCGUAUAUUAAAGUUGUUGCGGUUAAAACGUUCGUAGUUGAACUUGUGCUUCAUACGGGUAGUACAACUAUAAUUGUGGAUUGUACAUUACCUUAUGUAUGCAAGCGUAUUACCGGUGGAGUUCUAAUAUAUAAUGGUACUUGUAUCAUUAUGUAUACCUCCUAUUUAAACCUGCUUCAGUGCUCUUCAUCGAGUGUUGUUGUGGGCCGGUACAAUUACUUUGAACAAAUUAGAGUGCUUAAAGCAGGCUCCAAAUGCCUGAAUAUUUUGUGCAUGGAAUAAUGAAAUAAGACCUCUGUUCUACUUUCAUUGGUUUUUAGAUCAAGAGGUAAUGAUUAAUAGAAGCAGUUUGGGGGCAUUAGUAUUACGACGCGAGAGGUGAAAUUCUUGGACCGUCGUUAGACUAACUUAAGCGAAAGCAUUUGCCAAAGAUGUUUUCAUUAAUCAAGAACGAAGUUAGAGUU